CUAAGGAUGAUCCUUCAGCGAGCUCACGCUCACUAUCGGAUCGUUUUAGAAACAUCAGUGGCCAACAGAUCGCCAGAUCGUUGAGCUGCAUUGGCGGGAUUUCGCCGUCUUCGUUUCUCUUUCUUCGCGGACGAACACGCGCCGGGGCUGCGCUGUGCGAUUGCAUCUGCGCUGGUCGCCGAUGCAUGCACGCAAGACCCUAGUCCUGAAAAGGAUAGCGUUAGGGCUUGUAGCUCAGUUGGUUAGAGCGCGCGCUUGAUAAGCGUGAGGUCGGAAGUUCAAGUCUUCCCAGGCCCACCACUUUCAUCGAGUGAGCAUUCGUCUUCUGGUUACGGGGCCAUAGCUCAGCUGGGAGAGCGCGUGCUUUGCAAGCAUGAGGUCGUCGGUUCGAUCCCGUCUGGCUCCACCAGAUGGUUUGAUCACCGAGAUCUUGUACCGUCGUCCGCGAAACAUCACUUCGCAUUCACUAGUCUGGAUAGACAGUGAACUGCGUGUUUUCUGACAUCGUAAAGAGGAGAUCGAUCCGAGUUGGGUCGUGCAGCAUAUCGUUGCGCGAGCCUUCAUUAUCUCCGGAUCAUUUUCGGCGCUCGCUUUCAGCCGUGAGGUUGAAUGCGAGUUGUAAAAUGAUCCUUUUAGCGAAGCUUGACCGCCUCGCUAUCGGAACGAUCUUACGAAGCAAGCUGGUCUUUCUAGUCAAUGUCCGGCUGUACGUAGCAUUCAUCGAGGGUGCGCGCCGCAAGGCAAUCGUACGGACAACAUUCUGCCGAGUGUGUGGACAUUGAUAAUGAGAGC
Molecule: transfer RNA, 792 nt
Filed under: Bradyrhizobium sp.
Lineage: Bacteria; Pseudomonadati; Pseudomonadota; Alphaproteobacteria; Hyphomicrobiales; Nitrobacteraceae
Description: partial 16S-23S ribosomal RNA intergenic spacer
Rfam family: tRNA (bases 224-297)
Source: RNAcentral